AUACGCAAUGGUUACGGGACAUUUGACUUUCAGUUUUCAAUUUUAUGCGUAUUUUUCAUGAAAAAUGCAGCUUAUACUUGUGGGAAUUUAGUCCGUCCGUCUGAAGGUUUGAGAUCCCAGCAUGAGUAUGUUAUAUUAGAAUUAGAGAACGGGAGUGUGGAAAUGGGGUAUUCACAAACGUACCAAGUUAGCAGCCAAAAUGCCGAAAACUGUCGAACGACUAGUAACGGCAUAAAAAAACACAGCUUCCUGGUGAGCAUGCGCAUUUUGUUUUCAGGUACGUUCCGGGCACCGCACCGGUCGUAAGAGAGCUACCGUGAAGUGGGAGCGUAGAGCUGUUGCCUGUGCCAAAAAUAGCCUAGCACCUCCUAGCGGUUGUCCGGGCAACAACAGCGGGACCCCAUUGACGUGCACGCGACCUUCACCUCGCGGUCGCCGUGGACUACUCGACCGUCUCACGAACCUUCCCAGGUAAAUCAGCUCCGAGCGCGAUUACGACUCGGUAUGGUUUGGUAUCCUUCGCACGAAGAUGGGUCCUAUGCCUUCAACCUAAUAACAAGUAAAUUUUUGCAUUUUAAUUGAUUAUUAAUAUAGCAAUUUGAUUUAUUUAAUAAAAGUGUAAUGUGCGGUUGUAAUAAUGAUAAAUCACCUCGUUUAUCGUUCACUAUUUAAAAUGGUAAAAGGGAAA
Long non-coding RNA from Photinus pyralis (common eastern firefly), 688 nucleotides. RefSeq lists it as uncharacterized. The record is from RefSeq and is a predicted model, not a curated record. Lineage: Eukaryota; Metazoa; Arthropoda; Insecta; Coleoptera; Lampyridae. The transcript is spliced from 4 exons.